Long non-coding RNA from Dermochelys coriacea (leatherback sea turtle), 149 nucleotides. RefSeq lists it as uncharacterized. The transcript has 3 exons. The record is from RefSeq and is a predicted model, not a curated record. Lineage: Eukaryota; Metazoa; Chordata; Testudines; Dermochelyidae.
AGGGUUGCCAAUUUUGGUUGGAGGUAUUCCUGGGGGUUUCAUCACAUGACAUAAUCUUUAAUUAAAGAUUAAUCUUCAAUUCCUGGGGACUCCAGGAUAAUCCUGGAAGCUUGGCAACCCUAGGGUCAUAAGACAGCAUACUCCUGCCA